UACGUAGGGGGCUAGCGUUGUCCGGAAUCAUUGGGCGUAAAGAGCGCGUAGGCGGCCAGAUAAGUCCGGUGUGAAAGUCACAGGCUCAACCUGUGAAUGCCGCUGGAAACUGUCUGGCUAGAGUCCGGGAGGGGCGAGUGGAAUUCCUGGUGUAGCGGUGAAAUGCGCAGAUAUCAGGAGGAACACCGAUGGCGAAGGCAGGUCUCUGGGCCACUACUGACGCUGAGAAGCGAAAGCAUGGGGAGCGAACAGG
This 253-nucleotide ribosomal RNA is filed under the name uncultured bacterium. RNAcentral describes it as "partial 16S ribosomal RNA". It matches the Rfam family "Bacterial small subunit ribosomal RNA", at positions 524 to 776 of the family's 1533-position model. The record is from RNAcentral.